CCUGCUCUUGUGUCUCUCUCUUAAGAAUAAAUAAGACCCGUAAGAGAAAAAAAAAUAGAAGCCAGUCCGUUUAGUGUUGUCUGUUUUGCCCAGUGAUACCUCCUCACUCCAGCAGGGCAGGGGGACAAGGGUGACCGUCUUCGAUCUCUGUUGGCAUCUGCUGAGUCUUCCGUAUUGCCAUCUCGCUUCUGGUCAGGUGCCCACACCUGCCACGGCCAGAACAGCCUUGCUUCCUGAGAAGACAUUCCACAUCCCCCUCCUGUCUCCGGGCUUCUGGAAAUUUCUCCACAGAAAGUCCCGUUGUCCUGGGUUAGCUGCCGGAGCCCCUGGGAGGCUGUGUGCCCCCUCUGGCUGGACACACCUCUCUAUUCUGCUCUCCCUCCGUGCCGGAGGCUCGCUCUUGCUGUGGGAACAGGGACACUGCUAUUUCAGCUUUGGAAUUCCUUAAAUCUACCUGCUUUAGGGUGGGCUGACGGGGGGUGGGGGUGGCUGUCAAGUUCAUUGAUUUCUUCAGAUGCUCCUCCACCCCCAGGGUCUAUGGAUCUAAUCUCGGAAAGACAGUUUGGCUUUCUGAGCCAAUGUGAACAAAUAUGGCCCCAGCGCGUCAUGUCUCCCAGAAGGAGAUUUGGGGACCCGGGCAAUGGGCUCACAAGUACCUUUUCUCUGUCUUUGCUUCCACGUCCUUUCCUGGAGGCAAUGGAUGCCAUAUGUUGGAGCCGCUCAGAAGAUCUCUCUUGAAAAUAAUACACGCUCAGCAAUAUUUAUUGGGUGAUUAACUGGCCUGUGAUCGAGACAGCCACCUGACUGUUUUGGGUUAAAGCAAGUGGAGUGGAAUAGCAUUUCGUAAUGGACGAAUCACUCAGAUAUAUGCAUUAUCCAACUAUCACUUAAAUACCACAGCAACCCUGCCAAGGAAGUAUUGGUAGCCUCAUACACGAGUUCCCUGAAGUCUCAGAGCGUCUAGGUAACGUGUCUAAUGUCAACGCAGCUGGUAAGGGACAGAUUUGAAUCCAGGAUUUGCCCCUCAGCCCAGGACUCGUCCCCACCUCGAGUGGCAAAAGCCCAGUGGAAACAAAGGUGACCAAGAAAAAAAAAAAAAAAAAAGGCAGGUAAGUGUAACUCUUCAGCCGUUUGUCUCGAAGCUUUUGCCCGUCUCUGAUCCAACAUCUGCAGGCUGUUUCUACUUCCUGCUGAGCCCCUUUCCAGAAGGCUCCGUCUGGAAAGGACUCCAAAUUCAGCACUGAAAGCCCGGCUCCUGGUAACCGAAGAUGGUUGGCAAAUGGUCUUUGAACAAACCUCUCUCAUGAAAUGCCGGGUCGGUUUCACAAGUACAUAAAAUAACAACGGGAUCAAAGACAUAAACAAGAACAAGCCUGUAAUCGUCACAAAGCGGGCAGGCGUGGGGGAAGGAAGGCGGCUUCUGAUGCUCUCGCCCCUCCUGUUUUCUUUGCAGGCGAGUCCAACGCUCUGGCCAUCUGUUCCUUGUUGUGGGUGGUUAAGUGAAAUGGGCUGCCAAUACAAAUAGCCCCACUUGAGGUUUGUUUGCAUAAAUUGUUUUGAAAGCUUCAUGACGAAUUUUCAGGAUUACUUGCAGUGGUGGGGACCUCGGUGGAGGCGGAAAUAUAAAUUUAGAGAUGCCAGUUGGAAUCUCUUAAUUUCCUUGAAGCCCAUCGCCCUGGCUCUGCUUCUCAACUGGCUGUGUGACCUUGGGCAGGUGAAUUAACCUCUCUGGUCUUUAGGCUCCCCAUCUGCUCGAUGGGAGGUGAUAGGCAUUGUGGACACCUCAUGGGACUAUGAAUUUGAAACAAGAUGAGGCGGACGAAAUGGCUUAGCGCGGGGAUCGGCGCACGGCGCGAGCUCGGGAAAGGAAGCGAUCGGAGCCUUUCUGCUGAAAUGAGAGGAAGGGUGGCCCCAUUUGGUGCUCAGAGGCAGACAGCCCUGGGGUGGUGGGCCAGCUACGUGACACGCUAGCUGGGUGACCUUGGGAAACAUAGCUUCUCUCUGAACCUCGGGUUUUAAAUUCGGGGAAUGGGGCUAAUCAUGGGUCAUGAAGGCUACACGAGGCCACGUGCAAAGCACGGAGCACGAUGUCAAGUGUUCACAACGGCUGCCACGGUGAUUAUUCCACGAAGGCCAUGGCUAGGCUACCGCUGGCUUGGGUUUGGGCUCUUUACUCUCUAGGCCUGGGAUGGUGCACCCCCGUUCCGUCCCCUGUUGCUUCCGAUCUUGGUCGGAGCCACCCAGAGUGCAGUUUGUUCAGAAGGAGCGAGACGGGGGCGCGGCUAGGAGGGGAGGCACAGGAGUGUCACAGGGGUACUUGACGGCCGUGCUCUGGACUCUGGCAGGGAAGACAUUAAGGCCACCGCCUGCGCAUGCUCAGCUGAUAAAGAAAGAAGACGCACAGAGCGAGGUGGAGAGAGGGAGACACAGCGCAGAACAGCCCGCGGCCAAAUGUCGCCAAGCUUGCGCUGGAUUCCGGACCCCCCCCCCCCCGGGUGCUGCUGGCAUCUCAUGGCGCACGGCGAGGGGGUCUCCAGGGAGAGCCCACUUUAGGUCAGUUGUCUUGGGGUAAGAGGGAGAAAGAGACAGACGGGAGGGAGAGAGAAGUAACGAGAGCGUGAGACGAAGGAGGACUGAGCGAGAAGCACAGAAGAGACACAGAGAGCCGGGGAGGAGACAGAGAUAGAGUCAGAGGGACAUGGGAGAAAGAGAAGAGGCGCGGAGAGAGCAAGAGAAGGAGAGAAGCCCCGAGGGACACGGACAAGGACGGACACAGAGAAGGUGAGACAGAGAGAUGGAGAGAGACAGGGAGAGACGCGCGUAGCUAUACAGAGAGAGAGAGACACGCGUGCAGAGAGUGCAAUAGGGACACGGAGGGGUGGGACAGCAGAGGGAGAGGUGGAGGGAUGACCAGAGAUAGAGACCGAAGAGAAAAGGAGGCCGCAAAGGCUGUCCACAGCUCCCAGAACCCGAGCAAACGACGCAGUCCGCUCGCUCUUGGAUUCAGAGCUGCACGCUCGGGGGCCAUCAGAGGUGGUGACGGGCGGUGACCCCCAUCUUGUCCCUGGGACACCCGCUGCCCAUCUGCCCCCCCCCCCCCCGGCCUGGCACACCGGCCAGACCUUUUUUUUGGCUCCCGGGGGCCUGGCCUGGUUCUUUCGUCUCCCUGCCGCGUGGCCCCGUCUCCUAGUGCACACGGAGAACGGCCCAGAUGGAGCAAAGGGCCAGGGCUCGUGGCCAUGCCCGUCGGAGCAUUUCUACCGAUGACAGUUAAAUUGCCGGGGCCUCUGUUCUUCAUUGACAUCACAGACGGGAGAGUCCUCCGACGACCUCCCCCAAAUGAAAGCCAGCUGCCCCCCGUCCCAUCCGUUGUGCCUUCUUGCUUCCUUUCAGACGGUCUUCUGACUUUCAGCUCCAACCUGCCGUCUGCCUUGACAGGCUGUAGUGCUUAAUGAUGUUUUAUUGUGUGAUUUCACCAAACCCUAGAGUUUUUCACUUAUUUGAAGCUAAUGGACGAAAUCUGGACCCAUUUGCCAAAACAAGCCCCGUUGUGGCAAGGAGCAGAGUGGUCACACAUAAAUCAGAGUCUCAGGUAAAAGAUUAGGUUUCUCCUGCAUCGGAGCCAGCGACAGGCCGUAUUUCUACGCGAUUGGUACGUGUAGAACCAAUGGCCGUCCCGAGGCAUGUUUGAAACUCACUUUCCUACCGGGAAGGAUGCGGGGCAAACUAGUGCCCUGGGUUCUGUGAUAAAUGUCGGCCUAACCUCUGUUGUAUGUGAGUCCUGGAGGCAUCUGUAGCUGGCAGGCACGCUCCAGAAAGCAAUCACAUCUUGGUAGGGGACGUGCCUAUCGUUUGAAGUAGAGAGUGGACCAGUGGGCGAGGUUCUGGGGGGGUAUGCCUACCAGCGGGGUUGCACUCUCUCGGCAGUGUGGAGUAGGUGACUCAGAGGGCAAAGCUUCACAUUUGGGUAGGUAUUAGAGCGGCGGCUCUCGGCCAGAGAUGAUUGUGCCUUCUGUGGGACCCUCGACAACGUCAGGAACGUUUUCAGUUGCCACAACUGGGAAGGGAGGGUGCCAGGGAUGCAGCUAAGCGUCAUACCAUGGACAGGACAGCUCCCCACAACGCAGAAUGAUCUGGCCGAAUAUGUCAAUCCUGCUACUGAAGAAUCCUGUUUUACGUGGAGGGAAACAGUGUGGUGAUAUGUAUGAUCCAGAUGACUGGGCGGACAGGUACAGCUGUGCAGGUUGCGCAUUGGCCAAAUCCAGUGGGUGCUGGUCACAUUGCCUCUGGGGAACACGGGCCUCCCGGAGUUGGGCAGUGCAAAAGCCCUUGGGUGGGGGGGGGAGCAAAGUACGGAGUACGAACCAAGUUGGGAGUACGAGCAAAGACUCAAAGGCAGGACAGUUUGUGUUUGGUUUGCCUUGAGCAGAAGAUGCCUGGAGGAGAUUGGAAGGCAGUGAAAAGUUAGGGUUGGGUCUAGGAGCUCGGACUUCGUUCUGCGAGCGGUGGGGAGCCACGGAAGGCUUUGGGAGAUAGCGUGAAAUGAGAUGUGCUUCGGAAAGACUCGGUGAGCAGCAAUCCGUAACGUAGCUGAAAGUCGUCAUGGGCGGAGAAAGAGCGGGGAGGCUGGGAGAAAGGGACGCCAGCAAGAGAAGCGCUCCGUGGCCUGUGGGAUUAGAAGAGGUGGGCCCGGGGAGCAGACACAUCGCGGAGGCCGGUCACGGGCUGAGGAGGGCAGCGAGGAUACCCGUACCACCGGGGCCACCAACUCCAAGCCCCUCUUGGAUUGACCCCGAGUAGACCCUCCCGCCAGCUUCAGCGUGAAACUGAACACCCUGCGCAGGUGGCCCCGAGGCCCGUGUAACAAACACGGUGCUGUUCUGAGUUAUUUGUCCUUUUCGUUUGUGGUGACAAGGGGACCCAGAGAGAGAAACAAGAGCACGCCCGCAGCCUGCCUGAGGAUCUGGGGAUACCACCCUCCGAGAGCACAGAAGAGAGAGUUUUAGGUGUUUGCUGUCAUGGUGAAGCGGAAGAGAGAGAGCGAGAGAGAAUCCCAAGCAGGCUCU
Long non-coding RNA from Herpailurus yagouaroundi (jaguarundi), 5066 nucleotides. RefSeq lists it as uncharacterized. The transcript has 3 exons. The record is from RefSeq and is a predicted model, not a curated record. NCBI's taxonomy places the organism in Eukaryota, Metazoa, Chordata, Mammalia, Carnivora, Felidae.